AUGAGCGAUCUCCUCACCAGCCUUCUUGGUGGCCGCAUAGAGAGACGCGGGUCGGUCCGUCCUGUCAUGCUCGGAGAAAGGCACAUGGGAGUUGAGCCCGUAGACCGAAGACGAGGAUGCCCAGACGAUCGCCGGCUGCGGGUCGGCCGCGCGAGCCGCCUCAAGCAGCGCAACGAGGCCAGCAACGUUCGCCCGCACAUACGACAUGGGGUCAACGAGCGCGUGGCGCACACCUGCCUGCGCCGCGAGGUGCAGGACGUGCGUGAAGGGCGCGACGUCGAACAGCUUGGCGAGGAGCUCGGCGUCGGCGAUGUCGCCGUCGACGACGUAGACGCCCGAGCGCGCGAGCAGCGCGGCCCUGCCGCGCUUGAGGGCGGGGUCGUAGUAGUCGUUGAAGUUGUCGAGGCCGAGGACGCCGUCGCCGCGGCGGCGCAGCGCGGCGGCGGCGUGGCAGCCGACGAAGCCCGCGGCGCCGGUGACGAGGACGGAGAGCCCCCCGCGGCCGCCGGGGCGCCUGACGCGCGCGGAGGCCCGCACCUUCUUCUCCCAGGCGGCGCCGCCCCAGGUGGCGGCGGAGUCGGGGUGGGCGUGGAGGGAGCGGCGCGGCGCGUCGGGGGCGGCGCGCGGGGCGGGGGCGGAGGAGGGGGCGAGGAGGAGGAAGGCGAGGAGCAGCGAGAGGGAGCAGACGGACCAGAAGGCGAGCUUGGAGAGGAGCGAGGGCGGGUGGUGGUGGCGCGGGGCGAGGCGGUGGUGGUGGUAGUGGUGGAACUGCGGCUUGACGGCCGCGGCGCCGCCCGCCGCCGCCGCCGAGCCGGGCGCGCCGGUCAGCUGCGGCGCCAUCUCGAUCUGCGGCAAUGCGGCGGCUGGCCCUCGCUGGAUCUCGGGAUUGGUUGGGGGGGCUCCCCUCCCUCCUGGGUUUGGAGGGCCUUUUUUCCGCUUCCCGUUUUCUCAGGGAUGGUUUCGAUUCGCCUCGCCUGGCCGCAGUAUCGUGCUCUCCUCGGUUCGUUUUGGUUUGUUUGUUUGCUUGCUUGGGGCGAUUUGGUUUGGUUUCCCCUUCCCCGGCGCUACAUUUGA
This 1074-nucleotide ribosomal RNA is filed under the name Triticum aestivum (bread wheat). RNAcentral describes it as "partial small subunit ribosomal RNA". Lineage: Eukaryota; Viridiplantae; Streptophyta; Magnoliopsida; Poales; Poaceae. The record is from RNAcentral.